Molecule: ribosomal RNA, 253 nt
Filed under: uncultured bacterium
Lineage: Bacteria
Description: partial 16S ribosomal RNA
Rfam family: Bacterial small subunit ribosomal RNA
Source: RNAcentral
UACGUAGGGUGCGAGCGUUGUCCGGAAUUAUUGGGCGUAAAGAGCUCGUAGGUGGCUUGUCACGUCGGGUGUGAAAUCCCAGGGCUUAACUCUGGGUCUGCAUUCGAUAGCGGGCUGGCUAGGGUCCUCAGGGGAGACUGGAAUUCCUGGUGUAGCGGUGAAAUGCGCAGAUAUCAGGAGGAACACCGGUGGCGAAGGCGGGUCUCUGGGAAGGUACCGAGCUGGAGGAGCGAAAGCGUGGGGAGCAAACAGG